CCCCAGAGAAGCAUCCAGAAAACAAAGCAGUCUCAUUUUCAAAAGGCUGAAGAGGCCCCUAUGGAGCAUCAACACUCCAUCUCCUCAUUGACCUGAGCUCUCUAUGAUCUUGUUAAAGAGGCCCACGCUGUUUCUAUUCCUGCCUCAUGUGAGGAGCCAUGGGAGCACAUGCCUGGAGCACUGGAUGAAUUUGCAGAAGGAGGCAGAUGUGAGAGUCCAACUCAUCUGACUGCUUCCUGUGCCAGGCCUAAAGCUGCUAAAAGUAAAUGUUGCCUCUAAGGACAGCCGUCUUCUCCCUGCAAACGAGUCCUACGUCUUAGAUACCAGGAACCUUCUUGUCAGGAUUGAGCAGUAACAUCAUGGCCACCUGUCAAUGAGGCAGGAACACAGAACCUCCUGUGAGAAUGGAAGAGAGUCUGUUAGCGAGGUCUGUGGUGUUCAGAACAUUUGGGCCUUGCCCCACCCACACAAACAAGCCAACUGCCCGACAAGAGGACUUCCACAGCCUCUCUUGGAUGAAUUUCUUCCAUCUGUCCUUCAGUGCCCUGUCUUGAGUGAGUAUGAGUUUGUGUCCUCCCACAAUCCUGCCCUCUCCUUAUCCUUCAUGGCCCAGCUGAAGCCAUCAUACCUGCACUACCAUUGUAACUGAUAGCCUGUGGUUUUCUGUCAAUUCUGCAUCUUGGGGUUUUAUACACAGAAAAAACUGAUAGCCUGUGGUUUUCUGUCAAUUCUGCAUCUUGGGGUUUUAUACACAGAAAAGACAAGUGAAUAUACAGCCUGGUGUCCACAGUGGUGUGUAGCCUCUCUUCUACUCCAGCCCUGAAGCUCUGUGAAGGGAAGGACUAUGUCUACUUUGAUCAAUAUUAAAAGCCCAGAGUUUGACAUGUA
Molecule: non-coding RNA, 888 nt
Organism: Cricetulus griseus (Chinese hamster)
Lineage: Eukaryota; Metazoa; Chordata; Mammalia; Rodentia; Cricetidae
Source: RefSeq, a predicted model, not a curated record